AACGAACGCUGGCGGCAUGCCUAACACAUGCAAGUCGAACGAGACCUGCGGGUCUAGUGGCGCACGGGUGCGUAACGCGUGGGGAUCUGCCCUUUGCUUCGGAAUAACAGUUAGAAAUGACUGCUAAUACCGGAUGAUGACUUCGGUCCAAAGAUUUAUCGGCAAAGGAUGAACCCGCGUAGGAUUAGCUAGUUGGUGGGUAAAGGCCUACCAAGGCGACGAUCCUUAGCUGGUCUGAGAGGAUGAUCAGCCACACUGGGACUGAGACACGGCCCAGACUCCUACGGGAGGCAGCAGUGGGGAAUAUUGGACAAUGGGCGAAAGCCUGAUCCAGCAAUGCCGCGUGAGUGAUGAAGGCCUUAGGGUUGUAAAGCUCUUUUACCCGGGAUGAUAAUGACAGUACCGGGAGAAUAAGCUCCGGCUAACUCCGUGCCAGCAGCCGCGGUAAU
RNAcentral lists this ribosomal RNA (449 nucleotides) under uncultured bacterium. RNAcentral describes it as "bacterial SSU rRNA". It matches the Rfam family "Bacterial small subunit ribosomal RNA", at positions 29 to 524 of the family's 1533-position model. The record is from RNAcentral.